Molecule: non-coding RNA, 45 nt
Filed under: Schistosoma mattheei
Lineage: Eukaryota; Metazoa; Platyhelminthes; Trematoda; Strigeidida; Schistosomatidae
Source: RNAcentral
AUCAAGCUGAAGAGUUCCAAAUAGGAUGAAAUGCACGUCCUGGGU